This 61-nucleotide transfer RNA is filed under the name Mytella strigata. RNAcentral describes it as "Musculus strigatus tRNA-Thr". The record is from RNAcentral. Lineage: Eukaryota; Metazoa; Mollusca; Bivalvia; Mytilida; Mytilidae.
UUUCUGAAAGCUUUGUAGAAGCGGCGGUCUUGUAAGUCGUAGAUGCUUAAUGCUCAGAGAU